AUUGAACGCUGGCGGCAGGCCUAACACAUGCAAGUCGAACGAGUGGCGGACGGGUGAGUAAUGCCUGGGAAACUGCCCGAUGGAGGGGGAUAACUACUGGAAACGGUAGCUAAUACCGCAUACCCUCGGAUGUGCCCAGAUGGGAUAAGCGUGUAGGUGAGGGAACGGCUCACCUAGGCGACGAUCCCUAGCUGGUCUGCGAGGAUGACCAGCCACACUGGAACUGGGACACGGUCCAGACUCCUACGGGAGGAAGCAGUGGGAAAUAUUGCACAAUGGGGGAAAGCCUGAUGCAGACAUGCCGCGUGUAUGUAGAGGGCCUUCGGGUUGUAAAGUUCUUUCAGCGGGGAGGCGUUACCCGCAGAAGAAGCACCGGCUAACUCCGUGCCAGCAGCCGCGGUAAUAC
Molecule: ribosomal RNA, 406 nt
Filed under: uncultured bacterium
Lineage: Bacteria
Description: partial 16S ribosomal RNA
Rfam family: Bacterial small subunit ribosomal RNA
Source: RNAcentral